Molecule: non-coding RNA, 73 nt
Organism: Schistocerca serialis cubense
Lineage: Eukaryota; Metazoa; Arthropoda; Insecta; Orthoptera; Acrididae
Source: the annotation of a RefSeq genome assembly
UGUCCAGAUGGUGUAGUGGUCAGCAUGUUUGCCUAAUAAGCAGGAAACCUGGGUUUGAAUCCCAGUCUGGCAU